RNAcentral lists this ribosomal RNA (1389 nucleotides) under Triticum aestivum (bread wheat). RNAcentral describes it as "partial small subunit ribosomal RNA". The record is from RNAcentral. Lineage: Eukaryota; Viridiplantae; Streptophyta; Magnoliopsida; Poales; Poaceae.
AUGGAGAAUGUUGUAGUGCUGAUUGUUCGCGCUGGGCCAGCAGGCCUUGCAACAGCAGCAUGCCUUAGCCAAUUCUCAAUUCCCUAUGUCAUUGUCGAGCGUGAAAGUUGCAGCGCGUCGCUUUGGUGCAACCGCGCCUACGAUCGCCUCAAGCUGCAUCUUGCAAAGGAGUUCUGUGAGUUGCGACACAUGUCAUACCCACUAGAUGCACCAACAUACAUACCAAAAACCUUGUCUGUGAAGUACUUGGAUAACUAUGUUGAGGGUUUCAAUAUUCGACCCAAGUAUCUCACUAGUGUGGAGACAUCCACAUUUGACAAUGACGAAAACUGUUGGUCCAUCGUGGCACAUUACAUGGCAAAGAGCACACUAGUCAGGUUCACAACAAAGUUUCUUGUCGUUGCAAGUGGUGAGAAUAGUGCAGAGAAUAUUCCAAUGAUCCCCGGAUUGCAAAGUUUUCUGGGUGAUGUCAUCCACUCCUCAAGCUACAAGUCAGGCAAGAGCUACUCUGGCAUGAAUGUAUUGGUCGUUGGAUCCGGCAACUCUGGAAUGGAAAUUGCUUAUGACCUUGUGGCCCAUGAAUUAAUCCGGUUGGGGAUGACACUUGCUCGCCGUCUCCCAUUGAAUCUAGUGGAUAACCUCCUUGUGAUGGCGGCAAAUUUCAUAUUUGGUGAUCUAUCGAGGUAUGGCAUCAGAAGGCCAAAAGUGGGUCCAAUGAUCCACAAGUCAGAGACCGGCCGAUCCGCUGUUAUUGAUGUUGGCACCAUUGGGUUAAUCAAAAAAGAUGUUGUCUUCAUAUGCCAAGGUGUCAAUAUUCUAUUCAUCUCAUACAGGUACAGGGGAGCAUUAAAUGGUGAGAGCAUGUUAAAUGGCAAUAGACUGCCCAUCAAAGAAUAUCCAAAUCAUUGGAAAGGUAAAAAUGGGCUCUACUGUGCUGGGUUAGGAAGGAGAGGAUUGGCUGGUAUUGCAGCAGAUGCCAAGAAUAUCGCCAAUGACAUCAUAUCAGUGAUAGGUGCUAUGUCCGGGAGGACUGUAACUUUUCCCCAUCCUUUCAAUGCAAUGAAACGCAAAGAGUUUUGUAUUUUUCUUAUUGAACACUUACCUCGGAGGGCCGUGGGCGAGGCUGUUGUCAGAGUCCUCGGAGAUGUUCAUGGAAGCAUCAUCACCCUCCUCCUGGCUCCCACCUCGACCCUCCUCUUUGUUGAAGAUAUUGUGUGCGCGCCUCCGGCUGCUGGUGUUGAAGAAAAAUUGAUGCCCAUGUGUGUGCUCGAGGCUGCACUUGAUAUAAUUCUUAUUCGGAUCAUGACUGAACUUGCAGUGCAGAACUUUUUCCGUGUUGACUUGGAGUUUUUGAGCUCCUUCUCAUUGGUGCGGUUUCAAUUAUACUGA